GAUUUUUCCAGUUCUGCCUGACACCCAAAGAAACUGCUAUUUUCAUUAUAUAUGUAGCAGAUAAUUCUUUGAAACCGUUUUUAUAAUAGCAAAGGAUUGGAAACGCGCUCGCUUCUCAGAGUCUAAACAGGAACCCAAGAAGAAAGAUGACAGCAAUAGAGCUAGAGAAAAAAGAAGGAAUACAAGAACUUUGUCGAAAGAAAAUGAACAAAUGCUUCAACGUAGAAGGUGGUUUGUGGACUGUGCCUGUGGCCCUGCUCUCAGCAACAAGAGUACGCGUUCCCUCACGGGGCAGGCAACCCACUCCAGGCCAGCUUGAAAUCAGGGCUCCUCUACUGGGAGAAUCAGCAACUGGGGCUUCAGGGACCACCACGUGGGGAACCCGGCUUGGAACAGAAGCUAUCCCAGAGAAAAGGACAGCUGAGCACUGAAGGCAGGAAUCAGUAAGCUGUAAAGACAAAUAUAUACCCCUUACACUCAGCAUUUCUGCAGCUAUGUUUCCUUCUAAGCUAUUGAGUUUUGUAAACAAGUAA
This is a long non-coding RNA of Condylura cristata (star-nosed mole), 533 nucleotides long. RefSeq lists it as uncharacterized. The transcript is spliced from 3 exons. The record is from RefSeq and is a predicted model, not a curated record. NCBI's taxonomy places the organism in Eukaryota, Metazoa, Chordata, Mammalia, Eulipotyphla, Talpidae.